RNAcentral lists this long non-coding RNA (226 nucleotides) under Elaeis guineensis (African oil palm). Its description in RNAcentral is "long non-coding RNA (EGUI_LNC038766)". The record is from RNAcentral. Lineage: Eukaryota; Viridiplantae; Streptophyta; Magnoliopsida; Arecales; Arecaceae.
UCAGGUGGUCAGGUUAGCCAGCCAAAAUCAGACCUAAUCAUUUGGUAGUUAGAUUCAUAAGUAUGAUCAUGUUAAUGGUUGGACCUAAUCAGGAGCUUGCAGAGAAGACCAAAGUCAACUGAAUAGUUAUGUGGGGCUAAAUCAACUACUAAAAAUUAUUUGAUGAAAUAAUUAGUUAAUAAACCUACCCAUGGAUGCACAUAGGUGAGCUGGCUAAAGUCGGCCU